This 496-nucleotide ribosomal RNA is filed under the name uncultured bacterium. RNAcentral's name for it is "partial 16S ribosomal RNA". It matches the Rfam family "Bacterial small subunit ribosomal RNA", at positions 29 to 507 of the family's 1533-position model. The record is from RNAcentral.
AUGAACGCUGGCGGCGUGCCUAAUACAUGCAAGUCGAGCGAACAGGCGAGGAGCUUGCUCCUCUGACGUUAGCGGCGGACGGGUGAGUAACACGUGGAUAACCUACCUAUAAGACUGGGAUAACUUCGGGAAACCGGAGCUAAUACCGGAUAAUAUAUUGAACCGCAUGGUUCAAUAGUGAAAGACGGUUUUGCUGUCACUUAUAGAUGGAUCCGCGCCGCAUUAGCUAGUUGGUAAGGUAACGGCUUACCAAGGCGACGAUGCGUAGCCGACCUGAGAGGGUGAUCGGCCACACUGGAACUGAGACACGGUCCAGACUCCUACGGGAGGCAGCAGUAGGGAAUCUUCCGCAAUGGGCGAAAGCCUGACGGAGCAACGCCGCGUGAGUGAUGAAGGUCUUCGGAUCGUAAAACUCUGUUAUUAGGGAAGAACAAAUGUGUAAGUAACUAUGCACGUCUUGACGGUACCUAAUCAGAAAGCCACGGCUAACUACGUG